This 301-nucleotide ribosomal RNA is filed under the name uncultured bacterium. RNAcentral's name for it is "partial 16S ribosomal RNA". It matches the Rfam family "Bacterial small subunit ribosomal RNA", at positions 509 to 809 of the family's 1533-position model. The record is from RNAcentral.
CAGUAGCCACGGGAAUACGAAGGGGGCUAGCGUUGUUCGGAAUCACUGGGCGUAAAGCGCACGUAGGCGGACUUUUAAGUCAGGGGUGAAAUCCCAAGGCUCAACCUUGGAACUGCCUUUGAUACUGGAAGUCUUGAGUUCGGGAGAGGUGAGUGGAACUGCGAGUGUAUAGGUGAAAUUCGUAGAUAUUCGCAAGAACACCAGUGGCGAAGGCGGCUCACUGGCCCGAUACUGACGCUGAGGUGCGAAAGCGUGGGGAGCAAACAGGAUUAGAUACCCCAGUAGUCCCUGUCUCUUAUAA